RNAcentral lists this small nucleolar RNA (180 nucleotides) under Marmota monax (woodchuck). It matches the Rfam family "Small nucleolar RNA U3". Rfam says of the family: Small nucleolar RNAs (snoRNAs) are involved in the processing and modification of rRNA in the nucleolus. There are two main classes of snoRNAs: the box C/D class, and the box H/ACA class. The record is from RNAcentral. Lineage: Eukaryota; Metazoa; Chordata; Mammalia; Rodentia; Sciuridae.
AAGACCAUCCUUUGAGAGGUCACAUCUGUAGUAUGUUACUAGAGAGCUUUGACUGGGAAAAUCUCAAUGAGCCACGGAAAGCCUUCCAGAGCGGGAAGCUUGUGGGUGGUGCCACCUGCUGGCUGCUGCUUGCUACUGCUGAUGGCUCCUUUUCUCCUCUGGGAAGAAUUAGGAAGGAGA